Molecule: long non-coding RNA, 1469 nt
Organism: Pleuronectes platessa (European plaice)
Lineage: Eukaryota; Metazoa; Chordata; Actinopteri; Pleuronectiformes; Pleuronectidae
Exons: 6
Source: RefSeq, a predicted model, not a curated record
CGUUGCGUCAUUCUCCUUCGCCCCUACCCCGAUAACCUGUCCCUUGUGCCUAACUCCGACCUCAACCAAGUCCUUUAUAAAUAAAACAAACGGCCCUUUUAAGAGCCAACAUCUGUCUGUCGUUCUCUCUCUUUGUGUGAGUCAGCCACUCGUUUGUUUGUGUGUGGUUUUUGUUUGUCCCUCUCCCUGUUGGACCUGUGACCCCAAAUUUCAGUGGCAUACUAAGUCUCUGGCAAUAUGUCAUCACUAGAUGAUGCAGAGGCUCAUCUUGAAGAGAUGAACAAGGUAGCACUAUCUAUGAUCAAAGAGCUCAACGCAACUCUGUCACCUAAGAAAAAGAGAAAAUCAAAACCAAAACCAAAACCUUUGGUUCGAUGGAGACAACGGGACAAAGACGGCAACAUUGUUGCCCAAAGACGCAAGUCCUCCUCAUCAAACUCAUGUGCGAAACGGGUCAGAUCAUCCACUCCCAGUGUUCCUGAGGGGACUUCCGCACAGAUGCCCGAUGACCAAGAGGAAGGACUUUAAAAUGGACUAAAAGAACUUGAGUCUCCUCAGUGUUGCACACGAUGACACUGAUGUCAUACAUGAUGCCAGCACAACAACAACAGCCAGCGACUGGAAGACAUGAAAUGGUGCUCAAAGUGCUUUGCAUACAAUAAAGUUUUUGAAAUAACAUGCUAAAAUGUAACUCAAAAUGAGAAGAGGACAUUUGAACAUUUGAACAUGUUCAAAUUACAUGUAAUAUAUGUAUAAAAAAGGAAAAUAAAUUAAAUUGUAUAAAAAAAUGCAUAAAAACAGAAAAGAAAGAUAAUGAUUAAAAAAAAAUUGUAUAUAGCGUCUGAUAGACUUUCUACAGAUGAUGUCAGUGUUCCAGAGGGGACAUAGUUAACUACAGAGUCAGCGAUGUAAGUCAGGUGAAACCCAUUCAUAACCAUGUGGGUUUAUGUGACAGUUGUUUGGGGGUUUAUGAGGGACCCACUGAACAGAAGGAGGUGUUUUGGCCUAUCUAUAAACAUAAAUCUGCGAUGGCUGGGAAUCGAACCCAGGUCAACUGCUUGGAAGGCAGCUAUGCUCACCACUAUACCACCAUCGCCACAUCUGCAGGAAAAAUCCCUUAAAAUAAAAACAGCAGAUGAGAAGAAAACAGAACAGAAGAGAAGAGAAGAAAGCAUGUAACACUAAGCCCUGUUUUUUCUAAAACACCCAUUGUCUCUCCAAGUUCAUGUUUUAUUUUUAGAGCUAGCUCAAUGUAUUACAUUUAAAAUUCCCUUUUUUCACAAGCAGAUGAGGCUCUUAAUGUUACAUCACAUUACCAGAGGCUGAAUACGAAUGGUGAGGAAUGACAUACUUGUUAGAGGUUUUCCUGUGUGACUGUACUGGGAUGGUGGAAUGAUUCUUCUACUUGUGAACCCACAUGAGUAAAAUAAAUUCCAUGGUAAAGAGGAAAACCAGCAUGAUGACCAUAA